Electrophorus electricus (electric eel) is the source of this 1033-nucleotide long non-coding RNA. NCBI's taxonomy places the organism in Eukaryota, Metazoa, Chordata, Actinopteri, Gymnotiformes, Gymnotidae. The record is from Ensembl.
UUAACUUUUCUGUCUCUCUCUCUCUAUCUCUUUUCCCUCUCUCUCUAUCUUCUCUCUCUCUCUCUCUCUCUCUCUCUCUUUCUCUCUUUUUCCCUCUCUCUCUCUCUACAGGAGUUCAGGAGGCUGUCAUUUCCAGGUUAUCUUCUGAAUGCGGAGAAACAGAACUUCCACUACGUCUCCCUCAGCCGGCAGCACUCCCACAGACUAGAAGCUGCCCGGCAACUCCACCACAACUUGGCCAAUUCUCAGGGGGCGGGGCCUCUCACCCAGAGACCAAAUCAGACCCAUGAGGCUGACGGUAGCUCCAGGGCAACGGCCAAUCAUUUGCCACCUUCAAAAGGGCGGGAGGGAGAGGUGGAGCCUGAAAAGACGAGUCCACGGGCUGAGGUUCAAUGUGGCGUUGAAAGUCAGACGCAGCCACAUCAGGAGGCGGCGCUGGAGGCGGAGCAGGAUGAGGCCCCAGAGGAGGAGGAGGCGGGGCCUGUUGUCACUGACUCGGUGAGCGACAGCCUUUCUGAGCAUUCGGACCUGGGCCGGGUGAGACCGGCCAACCCAGACGAUGGGCGUUCUCAGAGCACCAAUCAGCAGCCCUCCGGCAGUGCUGACCACGCCCCUGAACCUGCCUCCCCACCCAAAACACCCUCCUCUGUCAGCCUGGCUGAGUCUGUGCAGUCGGCCACACACAGCAGUGGGAAACUGAGGCCCAGUCGGGUUCAGAGUGUGGUCUCCAGCCAAGGGAGUAUGGACUCGGACAUGCUCGGUUAUGAUGGUGGAAGCAGUGAUUCUGAAUGUGACGGGCCCACCAUGGAUGAACAGGAAGCUCCGAGUCCACUCAUGCCAGACUUCUGGCUCAUCAUUCGAAUCGACCAUGACAGAGUGGAGGUGUUCUCGCAUUCCAGGAGUUUUAUUGGUGGAAAGGAAGACAGGGUAGGAGAAGAGGACGAGGAGGAAAUCCCAGAGUACCUUCGUCUUCAUCAUCUCAUUGUGAGGAAGAUUGGGGAAAUCUGUCGAAUCGUCAAUCAGGUAAAUGUUU